AAUUAUGUGAGAUGAGGUGAACCUGUACCAAAAUUCCCAGGCUCACAGGUUUGGAGGACACCUGUUUGGAAGGGCCGUCUGAGAGAUUUGGAAAGAGGGACAGGUGAGGAUGAUCUGGCAGAGGAGGAGAGUUGCAAGCAUGUUCAGAACUCUCAAAGAACGGUCCCUUGCUAGCAGAAGUAUUUUCCUAAUCCUCUCUCCUCCUGACCGCCCUCCCGCACCAUCCCCGCCCUGCAUGUGGGUCUCACUUCCAGAGGCAGCUGCCUCACGUUCAGCUCCUGACACCUUCAGAAACUCUGCUAAUAAAUGCAGAUCGGAAAGCAUUCGGCCCAGGGGGACCAAUUUCUUUUUCCAUCACCUGUGGCUUCUCAACGUGAAAUUAAAAGUCAGCAGCAAGUAAUUGCAGCUGGCGGCAGCUCCCAGGGUUCAGUGGCUGCCAGGGGACCAGGUCUGUGUGCUGCCUGCCCUCUGUCCCUCCCACCUCCCAUCCUGAGAUUGAGCAAACUACGCGAUUCUUGGCUUUUUCACAAAAAUGAGACCCACGGCACUGUCAGCAAGAGGCUAGCCACGUACCCCCAGCAGGUCACUUCAGCAAUUGUCACUGCAUCUCUGACUGCCCCGUCAUCUCAGAGCUAUCCUGAGACCAUGUGCAGACUGGCCAUUGUAAGCACUGGGACAGAGGAGGCCAGAGCAGCCUGGGCGGUGGGGCUGAGUGAGGGGGCACUGGGAAGCCGGGAUCCUUUGAACUGCAGGCUCUGUCAUCCUCAGCGUCACCGGACGGCCACCAGCGGCCAGACGUCUCUUCUGCAUUCAGGCAGGAAGAGCAGGAAGCGGCCAGGAGACAGGGCGGCGACUGCGUCUGGAAGCAGCCCUUCCCUGGCAGGCCAGACCCCUGCCUCGCGCACCUCACUAGUGAACCCGAUCACGCGCGGGGCCCCAGUGAGGGGCGGCGGGGGCGCGGGGCCAAGGCGG
Bos taurus (domestic cattle) is the source of this 972-nucleotide long non-coding RNA. Lineage: Eukaryota; Metazoa; Chordata; Mammalia; Artiodactyla; Bovidae. The record is from Ensembl.